AUUGAACGCUGGCGGCAGGCUUAACACAUGCAAGUCGAGCGGGGUGAUGGUGCUUGCACUAUCACUUAGCGGCGGACGGGUGAGUAAUGCUUAGGAAUCUGCCUAUUAGUGGGGGACAACAUCUCGAAAGGGAUGCUAAUACCGCAUACGUCCUACGGGAGAAAGCAGGGGAUCACUUGUGACCUUGCGCUAAUAGAUGAGCCUAAGUCGGAUUAGCUAGUUGGUGGGGUAAAGGCCUACCAAGGCGACGAUCUGUAGCGGGUCUGAGAGGGUGAGCGGCCACACUGGGACUGAGACACGGCCCAGACUCCUACGGGAGGCAGCAGUGGGGAAUAUUGGACAAUGGGGGGAACCCUGAUCCAGCCAUGCCGCGUGUGUGAAGAAGGCCUUAUGGUUGUAAAGCACUUUAAGCGAGGAGGAGGCUCUUUUGGUUAAUACCCAGAAUGAGUGGACGUUACUCGCAGAAUAAGCACCGGCUAACUCUGUGCCAGCCGCCGCCGUAA
RNAcentral lists this ribosomal RNA (503 nucleotides) under uncultured bacterium. Its description in RNAcentral is "partial 16S ribosomal RNA". It matches the Rfam family "Bacterial small subunit ribosomal RNA", at positions 30 to 523 of the family's 1533-position model. The record is from RNAcentral.